UUUUAACAAUAACUCUUUCUUAAAAGUUCUUACAAUAAUAGACCCGGAAGUACUUUUGCAGCAACAAAGCCUCCUUAUGCUAGAUCGACAAUAUAGUUAUUUAAUGUUUAGAAGUAGGCUAAGUUCACAAUAAUAAUAAUAAUAAUUAUUAUUAUUAUUAAGACAAUAACCGUAUACGUUUUGUUUUUAAAGCGGCUUGUUUUAUUUAUACAAUCAAAAAACAACAAUAAUCGUUGAAUAAUGAAUAGGCUUUUAGGGGUUUUCAACUAAAAUGUAUUAUGGAAAACGAUCCCGAUCGAGAAUGCUGGACACAAUAAGAAGUCAGCUGAGCGAUGAGGCUCGCCUAGGGUAGGAGUCGUGAAUCUCGCGACACUACAGCUCCGAUUAUAUUGCAGUACAAUGGUACCAUAUCUCCUCGGCUGGCAAAUAAUUAAACUUGUACUAGAAUUCAUCUUGAUUUGAAGGCUUAGUGGCUUCAAAUCGUGGUAAUGGAGAAAUGGAGAUGUCACGUGCGCACAAAACUCAUACAGCGAGACAGCUCACAGAAGGAUCCAUAUGCUGGCAUCUUCAGAAGUUUGUUUCAGCUGCAAGAUAAUUUUGAAAUUCGUCGAGAAAUUUGGGAAGAUCUGCAGAGCCAAAGGUUUGAAGAAAAAAAUAUCAGGAUCUUUCUAUUUAAAAUGUUCUGUUAGUUUUUUAAUUUCCAAACUUUUUUCAAACGGUAUUAAUUCCAGUUUAGAACAAGAUGGAAUAACAUUUGUGGAACUUCACCUCUGGUUAAGAGAGAGUGAACACCUGUCUAAAAAGUUGUCUCAGACCGUCUCUGACCUGACCAGUGUUUUGUAUUUCAAAGAGGCUGAGCUACAGUACUGGCAGUCUCAGGUAGCCCGUUUCCGUCGGGAGGCUCUGAGCCUGGCUGGAGGCAGCAACUCGCUGAAGGCCACCCUGAACCACCAGGAGUUCACCCUUGAGAGGCAGGCCAAGGAGCUGGCCGCCCUGCAGAAGGAGCACAUGCGCCUGCGGGAGGGGAUGGUGGAGGCCUGGAAGGAGAAAGGGGACCUCCUCCAGAGAUGGAUGGAGGAGAAGAAAGAGGAGGCGGCAAGGGUUAAUAAGUACAAUGACGCACAGGAAAGGUGGCGUCGGUUGGCCAGACGGCUGAAGAAACAACUUCGGGGAGAAACGGUCAAACCUUCGGAGCAGACGGAGAUUGACGUGACGAGUGGCGAAAAAGAAGCAGCAUUCAAACUAGAAUGAGUGACAGCAUUUAUUUUGUAACUUUUUUUCAUCUGUAACUAAUAUCGCUUAAAUAACUUGUUUUACAUUCGCAGUUUAAUGUGAGCACCAUUCCUAGAAGCACAAUCCGAACUCCACUUAAACAGCAACUAAAUAUGCACCUGAUGCAACUCUCUAUUGACUACAUUUAAUGUUGUUUAGAUGGACCGUUUUUAUUGAAUCAACAUGGGCAGGCAUCACUUGUGCAUCAAGCUUACAAACCGAACUAAUAAUUCAAGAUUAUAUGCACCUCCUGAUGACGUUGUAACAUGUUUGUGUUUGUGUAACCUUAUCGGAUUGGUUUUUAGUCCGAUAAGAUCUUAAAGUGAUUCAUGUUUUUUUUACUUUUUAGUGUGACUGACAAGCCUACAUUAUUAUAUUUUAAAAAGACUCGUGGUAGAUAUGCUAUAUAAAUAUAUUGUGUUAUCAACUUUUUUUUAAAAUAAAGCAAUGUGUAACGUGCG
This is a long non-coding RNA of Gadus morhua (Atlantic cod), 1733 nucleotides long. The record is from Ensembl. Lineage: Eukaryota; Metazoa; Chordata; Actinopteri; Gadiformes; Gadidae.